Molecule: ribosomal RNA, 253 nt
Filed under: uncultured bacterium
Lineage: Bacteria
Description: partial 16S ribosomal RNA
Rfam family: Bacterial small subunit ribosomal RNA
Source: RNAcentral
UACAGAGGUCCCAAGCGUUGUUCGGAUUCACUGGGCGUAAAGGGUGCGUAGGCGGUCGGGUAAGUCUGAUGUGAAAUCUCACAGCUUAACUGUGAAACUGCAUUGGAUACUAUCCGGCUCGAGGAAUGGAGGGGAGACUGGAAUACUUGGUGUAGCAGUGAAAUGCGUAGAUAUCAAGUGGAACACCGGUGGCGAAGGCGGGUCUCUGGGCAAUUCCUGACGCUGAGGCGCGAAAGCGUGGGGAGCAAACGGG